Molecule: ribosomal RNA, 468 nt
Filed under: uncultured bacterium
Lineage: Bacteria
Description: partial 16S ribosomal RNA
Rfam family: Bacterial small subunit ribosomal RNA
Source: RNAcentral
GACGAACGCUGGCGUCGUGCUUAACACAUGCAAGUCGAACGGAAAGGCCCUGCUUUUGUGGGGUGCUCGAGUGGCGAACGGGUGAGUAACACGUGAGUAACCUGCCCUUGACUUUGGGAUAACUUCAGGAAACUGGGGCUAAUACCGGAUAGCAGCUCCUGCUGCAUGGUGGGGGUUGGAAAGUCUCGGCGGUUGGGGAUGGAUUCGCGGCUUAUCAGCUUGUUGGUGGGGUAGUGGCUUACCAAGGCUUUGACGGGUAGCCGGCCUGAGAGGGUGACCGGCCACAUUGGGACUGAGAUACGGACCAGAGUCCUACGGGAGGCAGCAGUGGGGAAUAUGGCACAAUGGGCGGAAGCCUGAUGCAGCAACGCCGCGUGCGGGAUGACGGCCUUCGGGUUGUAAACCGCUUUCGCCUGUGACGAAGCGGGAGUGACGGUAAUGGGUAAAGAAGCACCGGCUAACUACGUG